RNAcentral lists this long non-coding RNA (12508 nucleotides) under Capsicum annuum. RNAcentral describes it as "long non-coding RNA (CANN_LNC016638)". Lineage: Eukaryota; Viridiplantae; Streptophyta; Magnoliopsida; Solanales; Solanaceae. The record is from RNAcentral.
GAUAUUUUUUGGUACUGAUUUUUGUAAUUCUACAAGGGCAUCCUCCCAUGAAGGCUUGGUUUUACCCUUUAGUGCUCCUGCAACAGUAACAAUUGCAAGUGGAAGCCCCUUGCAUUCUUUGGCAACUUCUUUUGCUACUUCAGAAAGAGAGGGAUCAUCAGCUGAAUUACCAGCUUUCUGCUUAAAAAGGAUCCAUGCUUCCUUUUUAGAUAAGAUUUCAACAUCUACUAUCUUUUGAGCCUCCAUAUCGUCACAAACACCUCGGAGACGCGUCGUCAAUGCCACUUUGCAUUGAUAGUUGUGGUCGCUGCCACUGGGAAUUCCAACCCUCUUUAGAUCAACCUUCUUCCAGACAUUAUCCAAAAUUACAAGGACGCGACUGCCCUUCUGCAUUAACCUUGCACGCAGCCGAUCUUCACGCUGCAACAAAUCGUCCCCUUCUAAUAUUAGAUCGAUUGCUCUGGCGAUCUUACCCUGUAUUUUUUUAAUGUCUGGUUGUUGUUGACGAACAGUUACCAUGACAACAUCAUUAAACAACCCUGCUUGUUUUGCCCUUGCUCUUACUUUCUCAGCCAGUGUUGUUUUACCAACACCACCCAUACCACAUAUUCCAACAACAGUAAUCCCCUCAUCUCUCAAAGCUUCCAUGACCUCUUCCUCCUUCUGUUUUCUGGAGUCAAACUCCUCAUUACUGUUACUAGGCAUAGCUUCAAUUUCACCAGCUGGUACAGGAUUGCUGAAAACAGCAUACUUGUCACCUUCAUUUUGAAGUUUAAUCACAUCCAGUUCAAUUUUCUUAGCUUUCCUGCUCAGGGAGUAACGUGACUUCAAGUUUGGACACCAACCAUUGAAGCAACCUCUUUCAACCUCAACUCUAUGUCGUAGUAAAACCACCACAUCAGCAGUAGAGGUAUCUACACUACUUAACCAAUCCUCAACAUUGGGUGAAAUGACUUGUAAGUUUCUCCGGUCAGCCUCCGCUCUUUGAUGCACCCCAAUUCUGGUGUUCUCCAGCUUUUUAGAUUCUUCUUCCAGAGAUGUGAUGUUUCUCUUGUAAUAAUAGAAAUAUCCAAUUCCUCGCACGACUGGCGGGAUCAAGCAAGCUGUGACUUUGUCCACAAAUAUAGAUAAGAUUUCCAUAGCUAUCUCCUUAUUAAUUCUUCACUGGCUAGUGUAACAAAGAAAAACAGACUCCUGUGUCUGAACUCUAAUAAUUUUUUUUUUUUCCUUUAUCUGUUUUGAUAAUUUUUACUAGAGUUUGUAGUUACAAGGAAGCAAAGGUAGGCAAAGAAAAUGAAAAAUCAGGGGAAUGGUUGAAAAAGAAAGAAGCCUGGGGAUAAAGUGAUGAGGCCGAGAUGAAAAUGAAAGCUAAGGGUAAUGGAACAAAGUGAUGAAAAAUGGUUGGAGUAAGAAUCGAGAGUGAAUACAACAGAGGAUUAUAGAGUAUUGAUUAAGAAGAAAAGGGAACGGUUGGAUCAGAUGAAAAUGACAGCUGAGGGAUGACUUCAUUUAUAGACACUCUUGGGUGAUCUCACAAUAAUGUUAAUUAAAUAUUGUAUUUAAAAGUUGUAUUUCACAUAAAACUAAGAGCAGCUUCCUGCACUUGUGUCUUGGAGUGGUUCCAUAGUUGUUAACUUUAAUAAUUUUACUUUUGAGUUUUCACAAUAAUACUUCCAAGUUGUUCGUAUUAUAACCAACAAGAAUGAGAAGAAUGACAACAACUGGUUUAGUCCUGGAAAUAGCUAGAACAAUCCUCCUAUUUGAUAAAUAAAUGCAUAAAAAUAUUAUCCACCAAUCCACUACCAAUUUUCUGGAGUCAAACUCCACAGACAUGUAAAGAGUAAAUUCAUGUGCAUCUUGCAAUAUGCAUUGUGGCCUUUAAUUUCUUGUGAAACAACUUGUUCGAACACAACCAACUUGUUUACUUGAAUAGGUGUUCCGCAAUACAAUAAAGUAAGUGGUGAAGUCUACAAUUUGACCAAAAAGAAUACUCCCACCGCUUCAAUUUAUUUGUUUGGUUUUGACUUUACACGAAAUGGUGUAAAUUUAAGAGGACUUUUUGAACUAGAUAAUUUGACCAAAAAUAAUGUUAAAAGACAAGCCAUGUUAUACAUAAGACAUGGUAAACGCUUGUGUUAAUUAAAUGUUACUUCACACAAAACUAGGAGCAGCCUUCAUAGUUGUUGACUUUAAUAGUUUACUUUCAAAUUUUCACAUAUAAAACCCCCACUUGUUACCAAUUUAACAUUUUGGAAAGAAAAAAAUGUAUCAAUAAUUUCAUUUUGUUCCUAUUAUAACCAACAAGAAUGAUGUUGUUACAACAACUGGUUUAGUACAUAAAGCAUAAAGAAGUCCCGAAAUAGCUCAUAUAUUAGGAUUUUAGUGCACUGAAUCAAACAUGCAACAAGAAAUAAUCUUUGUAUUACUAAUCCUUAUAUAACUUAUUCUUACAUAACUAAUUGCCGCAUUAUGAUUCAUGUAUAACUUAGUCUUUGAACCAAAAUGUCCACUUUCUGUUAAAACUUAAAAGGUGGGAAUUGAUGUGCUUGUGAUAAUAUCUUAAUGCCAGUCAUGGUAAAGCCAACUUGUUUUCUUGAAUACGUGUCAAAUAAUAAAAUAAAGCAAGUGGUGAACUCCAUAAUAUGACCAAAGAUAAUUUUAGAUAAGCCACGUUAUAUAUACCUACAUAAGAUAUUCUUGAUCGUUAUUAAAAAGAGAAGAAAUUUAAAUUAUCAUUCUGUCAUCUCUGUGGUUUUCUCCCUUAAUAUAUGAGUGACAGUGGCCUUAGAAAAAGCAUUACAUGGAUGAUACCAACGAUAAAAAAGUUGACUUCAUGUAUCAAAAUCAUACAGAAAAAAAAAAAAAAGAGUUGGUCCAAUUUUUUGGAGACACAUGUGAUCAUAUGCCAAUGUUGCUUAAUUCCAGUAUCACAUGGACAACUUGUGUCAACAGAAAGAUUUACUACUCGAAAAGAACCGUAAAACCAAUUAUUUUUCAUAUGCAGAUAGGAGAUAUGCAUACAUCAGGAACCGCGGUUAGAAGUGCUCAAGUUUGGAGUAACCAAUAUAGGCCUCUAGAGACCAAAGUAAAUACAUUUUAUAUAUGAAAACAAAGAUUUGGUGAUAUAACAUGCCUUUGUUCAUUAAUCAAGAAACAUACCCGAGUCCCAACUCCAUUAGGUUCCCUUAAGCUUUGAUGAUCCUACAUGCCUUUAUUCUUUAACAAAUAUUUUUAGAAUAUAUUUUUCUACUUUCAUAACAAACACAAGAAUUUAAAUAAGAAACAACUUAUUUUCCUAAAAAAUAUUUUCCUCCUCCAUACCCAACACACCCUAAAAAAAUAUUUUUCAGGAUCAAAAAUUAUUUUCUAAAAAGUAAUUUCUACUCUUUAGCUAAACAUUAAAAUUUAUUUUCUGAAAAAUAUUUUUCAUUCACAAACCAAAUAUAAAAAAUAAGUAAGAAACCAACUUAUUUUUCAUGAAAUUUUUUAGGAAAAUAUUUUUUACUCACCAACCAAACAUAAGAAAAAAACUAAAAACCAUCUUGUUUUCCAUUAAAACAUUUUCUAGGAAAAUAUCAAAUCAAAUACGUCCUUAAGUGAUAAUUCACGCUUAGUUUGAAAGUGCUUCCACUUCAAUCUAACUAUUACUAUUACUCUUAGCUAGUUAAAUGAGAAAGAGAGCAGUAGACCAGGGGUCUAUUAAUGCAUGGGAUGCACAAAUAUAUAUAGCAUUUAGUUAUAAAGCGGCACAAGACAAACCUUAGAAUUGAACAUCUCUUUGUUGAGGUCAACAACUUUCAACUCAUCAUCAUUGUUCACGCUUUCGAAACUCAGCGUACUCACAGUUCCCUGUUGGAUAAAUGUCUUCAUUUUAGGGCAUUCAUGAAUAUGCACUUCUCUGAGGAAUGGAAGUUUAAGAGAUUGCUUAGUCUGAGUGAAAUGCCCCAGCUUUGGCAGAUCGUACAGUUUCAACUUAUCCAACACGGGAAAUAAGGGGUCAUUACACAUGAUUUCAUCUCCUUGUUGUUCUUCUUCUACGAUCACUUCUUCCAUUGAUCGGCAUUUUUCUAUCCGUAGUGUUCGGAGAUUCAGAAGGCCUCUGGCCACUGAUGGAGACAUCAAGUUUCUCAGUUUUUCACACCACCCUACUUUCAAGGUUACAAGUUUGCUGAAGUAGACAGUUGGAAGUUGGUGAGAAAACAGAGCAGUUAUGCUGUUUGCCUCAUCGAGUUUUAGCACUUCCAGGUUGGGACAAGAAACCUGCAAAUGUAGCAUUUUAUAUAAGGGAUGAAAUUUCAGCAGUGCUUCAAGUACAAAACGGAAUAUGAACCAUAUCUCAUCUUACAUCUUGGUAACAACAGGUGAAAAUCUAAUUACUUAAAGAAAUGCCCCAGCUUCAAGUGACAAGCAUAAACAACUAUCUGAAGAUUACUAGUAUUAUUAUUCGCAGGUUAAAACGGGAAAAAGAGAAGUAGACCAGGGCUGUAUUAAUGAAUGACACAGAUAUAUAGUUAGACCGCGGCACAAGACAAACGUUAGAAUUGAACAUCGUAUCAACUACUUUCAGGUCAUCAUCAUUGUUCACACUUUCAAGACUCACUUUCAAGACUCGGUGUGCUGACAGUUCCCUGUUGGAUAAAUGCCUUCAUUUUAGUGCAUAUACUAAUAUCCACUUCUUUAAGAAAUGGAAAUUCAAGAGCUUGCUUAGUCAGAAUGAAAUGCCCAGCUUUGGCAGAUCGCGAAGUUGCAGCUUAUCCAACACGGGAAAUAAGAGGUCAUUACACAUGAUUUCAUCUCCUUCUUGUUCUUCUUCUGCGAUCACUUCCAUUGAUUGGCAGUCUUGUAUCCAUAGUAUUCGGAGAUUCAGAAGACCUCUGGCCACUGACGGAGACAUCAAGUUUCUCAAUUUUCCACAAUUAUUUACUUCCAAUGUCUCAAGUUUGCUGAAAUAGGCAGUUGGAAGUUGUUGAGAGCAUAGAGAACUUAUGCUGUAAGCCUCAUAGAGUUUUAGCACUUUUAGGUUGGGACAAGAAACCUGCAAACAUUGACAAGGUGUCAACUCCAUUUCUGAUGUCUUGUAAAUAAUUACUAAUAAAAUUCUUAUUUCUGGAAUGUGUCUUAUAAUUACUAAUACAAUAUAUAAAUUAGUUGAUUUGGUUUGAUUUUAAUAAAAAGUGAACCAAAACGUUCCAUGUACAUAGAGUUUCUAACGUGCAUUUAAAAUAGAGGCAUAUUUUUAAUUUUAUUUUUAAAAGACAAUAAUUUUUUUAACCCAACCCUCACUCCCCUACUCCAACCCCCAACCCCUACUAGCCCCCCCCCCCCCCCCCCCAAAAAAAAAUAAAUCUUACAUUUGUUUUUUAAAAAGAAAUUCAAAGUUUUUUUCUUAUCCCACCUCUACCACCUAUUCUGACACACACACCUACAAACCCCCUUGUCCGAUACAUAGCUCUUCCAGGUUGGGACAAGAAAUCUUCAAACAUUGACAAGGUAUUAACUCCAUAUCCGACGUCUUUCAAAUAAUUACUAAUAAAAUUCUUAUUUUUGGUGUGUCUUUUAAUGUUAUUUUAUUAUAGUAAGUUAAAUCAUUGUUAGACUAAAUCAUUAGAUAUCAAUAAAAUGUAACUAUACGAAUAUACAAUAUAUAAAUUAGUUGUAAAAAAUGGAAUAGUUGAUUUGGUUUGAUUUUGAUAACAAGUGAACCAAAACGUCACGCGUACACAGAGUCUCUAACCGUGCAUUUAAAAUAGAGGCAUAUUUUGUAAGAAAUUCCUAAUGGCUACUCUAUUAUACUUCAAAAGAAUUUCAAAUUAUAAGUUAGAAAUAUUUUAUUAAUAUCAAUUAAAAAAAAGGCAAGAUUUAUUAACCAAAAAAUAAAAAAAUAAAAAAAAUAUUCAUACCCCACCCCUACAACCUCCCCCCAAAAAACUAAUAUUUUUAAUUAUAUAUUUUUUUUAAAAAAUAAUUAUUUUCAUCCCACCCUCACUCGCCUACCCCGACCCCCAUCCCUACUAGUCUCCCCCAAUUUUUUUUCUUAAAUUUGUUUUUUUUUUUAAAAUUCAAAUCAUUUUUCUUACCCUGCCUCUACCGCCUAUUCUGACACACACACACACCUACUAACCCCUGUCCGAAAAAAAGUUUUAACUUUUAAAUUUAUUUUUAAAAAAAUUCAAAACUUUUUUUCUUAUCCACUCUACUUAUCUGAUUUGUUCUCCUGUUUUAUGUUAAAAAAUACAAAUAGUUUUAGAAAAUAUUUUCCUACUUUCAUAACGAACACAAGAAUAUAAAUAAGAAACAACUUAUUUUCCUAAAAAAUAUUUUCCUCCUCCACAUCGAACACACCCUAAAGAAAAUAUUUUUCAAGAUCAAAAAUUAUUUUCUAAAAAAGUACUUUCUACUCUUUAGCUAAACAUUAAAAUUUAUUUUCUAAAAAAUAUUUUUCAUUCACAAACCAAAUAUAAAAAAAUAAGUAAGAAACCAACUUAUUUUUCAUGAAAUUUUUUAGGAAAUAUUUUUUACUCACCAACCAAACAUAAGAAAAAAUCAAAAAACCAACUUAUUUUUCAUUAAAACAUUUUCUUGGAAAAUAUUUUCCAUCAUACCAAAUACACCCUAAGUGAUAAGUUGAGAAGCCAAAAAUGCUAUAUAUUAAUACAGAUAAAAAGUCUAUGGAAAAAAGUUAUUGAAUUCACGUGAACCCUUGGAUUAUAAUAUUGUAGAUUCACUUAUGUUUGUUACCUCCAUCAACAUAGGUAUUAGGUGACCAAAACAAAAAAAAAACUAUAUGAAGAUUACUAUUACUAUUAGAUUAAAGAGGUGAAAACACCCCCAAAACUUGACGCGAAUUACUACUCUCAUCCCCGAAAUAUGCCUAGUACUUAAAAUACCCCUAUGCUUGACUAAAUGAACUUAAAAAUGCCCCCUAUUUCUUACCUGAGUGGCAUGGUUUUAGUCUAGAAAUCUUCUAUAAACUCCAAAUCUUUGGCUUGCUUUGUAAUUGUCUGUAGUUUAUUUAGUGUGGGUGUGCUUAAUUAUUGAAUUUGGAUUAGGAAAUUCGUUGAGUUUUCAAAUUCUUUGUCAUCAAGACUAUUAAACAAGCAAUCAAACAUGAUGAUCUGCUUAUGCGGCAUUUUUCAUAAGCACCUCGCGUGCAAAAAAGAGGUUGAGACCACUUGCUAAGUCAGCUGGCUGAUCAUGGGCGUUUUUAAAUUGAUUUAGUCAAGUCUAUGGAUGUUUUAAAUACUAGGCAUAGUUCAAGACAAAAAUAAUAAUUCAAGCUAAGUUUGGAAGUGUUUCCACCUCUUCACUCUAACUAUUACUAUUUGCUAGUUAAAUCAGAAAGAGAGCAGUUGACCAGGGGUCUGUUAAUGCAUGACGCAAAUAUAUAUAGCAUUUAGUUAUAAAGCGGCGCAAGACAAACCUUAGAAUUGAACAUCGCUUUAUUGAGAUCAACAACUUUCAGCUCAUCAUCACUGUUCACACUUUCGAGACUCGGUGUGCUGACAGAUCCUUGUUGGAUAAAUGCCUUCAUUUUAAGGCAUACACGAAUAUCCACUUCUUUAAGAAAUGGAAAUUUAAGAGCAUGCUUAGUCAGAAUGAAAUGCCCCAACUUUAGCAAAUUGUGAAGUUUCAGCUUUUCCAAUCGGGGAAAUAAGGGUUCAUGACACAUGAUUUCAUCUCCUUGUUGUUCCUCUUCUGUGAUCACUUCUUCAAUUGAUUGGCAGUAUCCUAUAUAUAGCAUUCGGAGAUUCAGAAGACCUCUGGCCACUGAUGGAGACAUCAAGUUUCUCAGUUUUCCACAAUUUUCUACUUCCAAGGCUUCAAGUUUGCUGAAGGAGGCAGUUGGAAGUUCGUGAGAGCACAGAGCAGUUAUGCUAUUGGCCUCAUAGAGUUUUACCACUUCCAGGUUGGGACAAGAAACCUGCAAAUGUAUCAUGGGAUGAAAUUUCAGUAGUGCUUCAAGUACAAAAUGGAAUAUGAACCAUAUCUCAUCUUACAUCUUGGUAACAACAGGUGAAAAUCUAAUUACUUAAAGAAAUGCCCCAGCUUCAAGUGACAAGUAUAUACAACUAUCUGAAGAUUACUAUUAUUAUUCGCAGGUUAAAACGGGAAAAAGAGAAGUAGACCAGGGGUGUAUUAAUGAAUGACACAGGUAUAUAGUUAAACCGCAGCACAAGACAAACCUUAGAAUUGAACAUCGUAUCAACUACUUUCAGGUCAUCAUCAUUGUUCACACUUUCAAGACUCGGUGUGCUGACAGUUCCUUGUUGGAUAAAUGCCUUCAUUUUAGUGCAUAUACUAAUAUCCACUUCUCUAAGAAAUGGGAAUUCAAGAGUUUGCUUAGUCAGAAUGAAAUGCCCCAGCUUUGGCAGAUCGCGAAGUUGCAGCUUAUCCAACACGGGAAAUAAGAGGUCAUUACACAUGAUUUCAUCUCCUUGUUCUUCUUCUUCUACGAUCACUUCUUCCAUUGAUUGGCAUGCUUUUAUCCAUAGUGUUCAGAGAUUCAGAAGACCUCUAGCCACUGAUGGAGACAUCAAGUUUCUCAAUUUUCCACAAUACCUUACUUGCAAUGUCUCAAGUUUGCUGAAGUAGGCAGUUGGAAGUUGGUGAGAGCAUAGAGCAGUUAUGCUGUUAGCCUCAUUGAGUUCUAGCACUUCCAGGUUGGGACAAGAAACCUGCAAACGUUGACAAGGUAUCAACUCCAUUUCUGACGUCUUGCAAAUAAUUACAAAUAAAAUUCUCAUUUCUGGAAUGUGUCUUUUAAUGUUAUGUUAUCACAGUAAAUUAAAUCAUUUUUAGACUAAAUCAUUAGAUAUCAAUAAAAUGUAAAUGUAUACGAAUAGACAAUAUAUAAAUUAAUUGUAUUAUCCAUUUAACUAUGAAUUCUACCACUCUAUUUCUAAUAAAAUGGAGAAAUUAAUAAAUAUUCUACUUGAGAAACUGUCAAAGAAAUUAUUUUUUCUUAAUGAUCAAGUAGAACAAUGGAAACACAUUGUUUCAUCAAAAAGAGGGUGAAAAGGGUCAAAUUGAGAUGAUGUAUUAUUGGUAAGUUUUAAAACUGAAUCAACUCUAUCAGUUUUUGGGUUUUAUAAUGAAUUUUAUAUAUUAUUAAAAUUUGGUCAAGUUUGAAUACGUACAUCAUUGCAAAGUUAUUAUUAGACUUUAAAAAAUAACUACCAUGUGUUUAACACUAGAAUUUAAGUUUUGUGCACUAACAAUGUACAAAAUAUUCUACACUAUCAAUGAACUUAACCUGCUAUUACAGGUUACUCAAAUUUUUGUUUUUUUUUUCAAUUUCUAUGAAAAAAAUUGAAUAACGUGCAAUAGCAAAUCAAGUUUACAUAGUGUAAAAUAUUUUGUACACUAACGACGCACAAAACUUAAAUUCUUAACAGUAUAUAUGUAUUUGUCAAUUUGUCAGUUACCACUAAACUUUUAUUGAUUUAUUAAAACCUUAUCUAUAACUCCAUAAAAUUGAGAUUGAAAUAAUGUUCAUGUGACAAAAGAAUGAAAAUCUUCGAAAAAAUUAGUAUAGUUGAUUUGGUUUGAUUUUGAUAAAAAAUGAACCAGAGUGUCUCAUUGUACACAUAGUCUCUCUAACCACGCAUUUAAAAUAGAGGCAUAUUUUGUACGAAAUUCCCAAUGGCUACUCUAUUAUACUUCAAUAGAAUUUCAAAUUAUAGGUUGAAAAAUACUUUAUUAAUUACAAUAAAAAAAGCACGAUAAAGAACUAGGUAUGUCGUUGUAUAUAAUUUAAAAAAAAAAAGACAUUCUCUUAUAUUAUAAGAGGGAGUGAGCAGCUUCUGAUCGUCCUGCUUGUCGACCAUUCAGUUGUUUGCUCCAUGAUUUUUCUAUAUCACACCUAAUUAAUUAUUAUAUACCAUUUACGUAUUAGAAAAUUAUUAAUAUUUAAUAAAAAAAAGUAAAAUAGAUAUUUAUGACUUGUCUGCUUCAACCGUAAUUUUACCAUAUCACCCUAAUUAAUUAUUAUAAAGUCAUCUAAGUAUUAAAAAUUUUAUUUUAAAAACUUAUUACAAAGUCAUCUAAAUAUUAAAAAAUUAAUAAUAUUUAAUGUUAAAUUAAUGUGAUGUCUUAUAUGAUGCCCACUUAACUAUUUUUUCACGAGUAUUUUUUAUAGUAAUUUUGUUAUAUCACUUAUAAUUAGCUAUUUUAAGUCAUUUAAGUAAUGUAUGCUUCGAUGCUUCAAUCGUGAUUUUACUAUGUCACCCUAAUUAAUUAUUAUCGUCAUCGAAGCAUUAUGCCACUUAAACUGUAAUAGAAGAAAAAAUAUUAUAAAUCACAAGAAGUAAGAAAUUGAAUUAUUUAAAAAUAUAAGUGACUAUCAAUGCCACAAAAGUUUGGAUAAGGAGAUUAACAUAUAUUAUUUGAAAAUUAAAUAAAAAAAUAUUAUAAAUUAUAAUACUUAUACCCUUAAAAUAUUUUAAAAAAAAUAAUCUGCUAUAUAUUUCAAAAAAAUAAAAAAUACAUAAAAAAAUACUAUAGAUCACAAUAAUUAAAAAUUUAUAAAAUUUAAAAGAUACAAAAUAUUUGGUUACUCUCGAAAUUAUAUCAGUGCCACUUAAAUUUAAAUAGUUAAAAAUAUAAUUGAUUAUCGACGCCACAAAAGUUUGAACAAAGAGAGUAAUAUAUUAUAAAGCUAAAAUAUAUCAAUUCAUAAAAACCCUUCAAAUAAAAACUUUUUCAUGUAGAAGCAAACCUUUUCAUUAAAAAGAGGAUUUGAGUUGGUGAUCGCAUUGUUGGCUGUUGGCCAGAAAUUUUGGAACUCUCGUAAUUCCUUCAAAUGCAUUUCCCGUAACAGAGAGAACUCAAUGCCCUCAACAGUGUCACUGCAAAAGUGUGUGAAGCAGUCCAGAUCAUCAAGUUUCAAGCUAUGUAAAUUGGGGAACUUGAUUACGUCGGGUAUGAUAUGUGUCCUUCGAGAGAUCCCCUCUUCUUCGUCAUCUGGGCAAGCCAAGGACGCACGAAAAAGAUGACGUAGGUGAUCACAAUAGCUUACCUCCAGCUUUUCGAGUUUGGGGAAUGGAAUGUUAUUCUGACAGUGGAUAUUCAAUGAAUCACAAAAAGCCAGCCUGCGAUCUUUCACAUUCUGCAACUCGACCACUACAUUCUUGGAGCCCUUUCCUCUUGAAUGUACAACUUCGCUAUUCCUCAACAGGAGGCGGAUCCAAUCACCCAAUUGGGUGCCCUCGGUGAUGUCUAGAUUGAUAGCCUUGUUGUAAGUUUCCAUGAAUGAAGUGAUCGUGUAGCGUCCAUUCACGUCAAGAGCAUACCGUGUCAACUUGGAGGAAAGGCCCAAGUUACUGUAAAUCACAUCUUUAGAACAUCCAUCUAAGGUCAGUGCAGUCAAUCUCGAUAACGAUUCCAGCUCCCUCAAGGUGGAGUAACUACAAUCUUUUACUCUCAUCAUAUGUAGUUCCUCCAAUCGAACUAGUCUUGAUAAGACCCCUGGUGAAAUCCUCAUACGUUUUCUGUAACCAAUAUUCCAAUACUCUAACAUAGUUAGAUUGGCCAAGUUUCCGAUCUCCACUGGAAUCUCCUGUAAGUCAGAACCUCUGAUGCUGAGAAUUUCUAAAGUGACAAGUUUCCCAAUAAUGGACACGUCAUCCAGCCUUAGAUUACUCAGCCAAGGCGUGCUCAGAUUUGACAACCUCUGAAUGGAUGAUGGAAAGGGCAGAAUGGAGUUUCGACCAUAUCCACUCAGUUUUAUGACACUGAGUUCACUCAUUCCAUCAAAAAAAUCAUCCUGUAAUAUGAAGCCCUCUUCGAAACAGAGUUUUAACAUCAGAAGCUUCAGUCGUGGGCAAGAUAUUGGUAUGGGACGCUCAUCAAAUUUAUUUGCAACAAUUGACAUGUGACUGUAUUGCUCGUAAGAGUCUUUUCUCGGGAACUCCUCUGAGUUUACGUUGUGAUUUACCAUAAACUCAUGUUCCUCAGAUGCAAUAUGUAUAGCCAUGUCCCGGACCACAUCAUGCAUUUUGACAUAAUUUUUGUUUGAACCUUGGGAUAGCAAGAAACAAUUUUUCAAUGUUUCUAACAGAUUAGACACCCUAUUUCUUGCACGUUCUAAAUUUUUGCAUUCCGAAAAGAUUCCAAGCCCCAUUCCAUAUCUAAGUAAUUCUUCAGUCCAAAUAUCACUAUCCUCCUCAAACAAGGAACAAAGCAAAAAGACAACCUUGGCUUCAUCACUCAAGUGAUUACAGCUUGUCUUCAGAGGUUGAUACACCUCUGUAAGCACUCUUGGGAUAUUUUUUGGUGCUGCUUUUUGUAAUUCUAAAAGGGCAUCCUCCCAUGAAGGCUUCGUUUUACCCUUUAGUGCUCCUGCAACAGUAACAAUUGCAGGAGGCAGCCCCUUGCAUUCUUUGGCAACGGCUUUUGCUAUAUCAGGAAGAGAGGGAUCUAAUAAACGGCUUUCUGCCUAAAAAGUACCCAUGCUUCUUGAUCAGGUAAGAUUGCAACAUCUACAAUCUUUUGAGCAUCCAUAUUGACA